GCGUAAGGGCUCGCAGGCGGUUUCUUAAGUCUGAUGUGAAAGCCCCCGGCUCUACCGGGGAGGGUCAUUGGAAACUGGGAAACUUGAGUGCCCAAGAGGAGAGUGGAAUUCCACGUGUAGCGGUGAAAUGCGUAGAGAUGUGGAGGAACACCAGUGGCGAAGGCGACUCUCUGGUCUGUAACUGACGCUGAGGAGCGAAAGCGUGGGGAGCGAACAGGAUUAGAUACCCUGGUAGUCCACGCCGUAAACGAUGAGUGCUAAGUGUUAGGGGGUUUCCGCCCCUUAGUGCUGCAGCUAACGCAUUAAGCACUCCGCCUGGGGAGUACGGUCGCAAGACUGAAACUCAAAGGAAUUGACGGGGGCCCGCACAAGCGGUGGAGCAUGUGGUUUAAUUCAAAGCAACGCGAAGAACCUUACCAGGUCUUGACAUCCUCU
This 435-nucleotide ribosomal RNA is filed under the name Bacillus pumilus. RNAcentral describes it as "bacterial SSU rRNA". It matches the Rfam family "Bacterial small subunit ribosomal RNA", at positions 558 to 992 of the family's 1533-position model. Lineage: Bacteria; Bacillati; Bacillota; Bacilli; Caryophanales; Bacillaceae. The record is from RNAcentral.